Molecule: small nucleolar RNA, 44 nt
Filed under: Pogona vitticeps (central bearded dragon)
Lineage: Eukaryota; Metazoa; Chordata; Lepidosauria; Squamata; Agamidae
Description: Small nucleolar RNA snR50 (ENSPVIG00000000504.1)
Source: RNAcentral
CACAAAGAUGAAAGAGGUAGCAAAUAAAAAUGGCCAGUCAUUUG